This is a long non-coding RNA of Spinacia oleracea (spinach), 1541 nucleotides long. RefSeq lists it as uncharacterized. The record is from RefSeq and is a predicted model, not a curated record. The transcript has 3 exons. NCBI's taxonomy places the organism in Eukaryota, Viridiplantae, Streptophyta, Magnoliopsida, Caryophyllales, Amaranthaceae.
CUGAUAAGUAGCGUCACAAUUUAUUUUCAUCAUAUCUCAUGUAUAUCACGCUGGUCUAUCUCCUCUAAAAGUCCUGGUCGUCUCCCUCGUAUAUCUCCAUUAAAAUUCUUCAAUCAUCAAUCUCUCUAAUCUCCUCUUCAGUCGAGCUUCCCGGUGUUCAUGUCUUUUCACAUUUCACAUAGGGAAAAUGGAGUCGGAGCUAGUUGUACUCAAAUGAAGGUUAUUCGUGAUCGUGUUGCUGAUGAUUUAAGGAAAGUUAGAAGAAACUUUUAAUUAUUGUAAACUGCAGUUAAACAUAAUCGAUUUGACGUUAUUUAUCUAUUUAUUUACUAAGAGGAACAAUGUAGUCUUUUACUUUAUGUGUAUGAAGUCAUUACUUCCAUACAUUACUUUACUAUAUAGCAUGGUUACCAAAAAAUAAUCAUGAUAAUGGGUUGAAUUUAUUUAAUUUUCUAACUAAAUAUAUUAUUUUUUAUUUUCUUUUGUAACUUCAACGACUACUUUUACCAAACACUCAUACUAUCAACCGCUACCUUGACAGCUAACCUCUACCCUCUACUAGUUGACAGCUACCCGCUACUCUGACCGCUACCCGCUACUCAACCGCUAAAAGCUAUCCGCUACUGCUAGUUUUGCCAAACAGGACCAAUAUUAUCACCUUAAAAGCUUAAAAUCUCAAAGUUUUAUGUUACCACCUAAAACAAAAAAAUUCAAAAAUUCAUGUCACCACCCGGUAACAGGAAAGUUAAUAGCAUCUCCACUUCAACGCCUAUUAUAUCAGUUGCCUUAUAAGUUUCCUCAACGUUCUUCAAAAAACCAACUACAAGUCAUUAAAUCUUCCCAUAGAUCACCAAUUUAUAUGAAAAACUUGAAAUUGAUUGGGGCUUUCAUUAAUUUCUGAUUUUUGAUCAAUUUGUUGGGUGAAAGCAACCGAGUCAAGUAGGUGUGCAAUGGAGAGGCCAUGUGGGAAGAAAAAGAAAAAGAAGAAACAGAUUGGGGAGAAAUCGAUCAACGGAUUUGACCCACAAGCAAAAAAAAUUAAAGUAUUCAUCGAAAUGGCAUACAAAUUGAAGGAUGAGGGCUACAACUUAUUUCAAGAGAGGGAUUAUGAAGGAGUCUUGUUGAAGAGAGGGAGAGAAAAGGAAAGAUUAUGCAAUUGGGAUAGAAAUUAAAAUAUGUGGUGAAAAAUUGAAGAGGAAUAUAGAAGGAAGGUGAAGAUUUGAUUGAGAAAGAAGAAUAAAGAAGGAAAUCGCAUAAACCGACUGAGAAAAUAAAUUGGCGGGAAGUUUAAUUAACGGGUCCCAGUAAAGCGCCAUUAACUGUUAACAGGUGGUGAAAUGAACUUUAAUUUUUUUUAGGUGGUAAUAUAAAAUGUUUGAGACUUUAGGUGGUAAAAGACAAAUUUGGAUUUUUUUAGGUGGUAAAAUACAAAAUUUUCUUUUUUCUAUUGUAAGGUACCAGAAUAUUAUGUACUACUUGUACUUCCUCCUUUUUACUAUUCAUCCCAAUUUUUGCAAUGCAAGUUGAUGUAUUGUAAAUUA